RNAcentral lists this unclassified non-coding RNA (176 nucleotides) under uncultured fungus. RNAcentral describes it as "partial contains 5.8S ribosomal RNA, internal transcribed spacer 2, and large subunit ribosomal RNA". The record is from RNAcentral. Lineage: Eukaryota; Fungi.
AGGGAUCAUUACCGAGUUUACAACUCCCAAACCCCUGUGAACAUACCUAUCGUUGCCUCGGCGGUGCCCGCUCCGGCGGCCCGCCAGAGGACCCCCAAACUCUUGUUUUAUACAGUAUCUUCUGAGUAACACGAUUAAAUAAAUCAAAACUUUCAACAACGGAUCUCUUGGUUCUG